UGGGUUCAGAACGUCGUGAGACAGUUCGGUCCCUAUCCGUCGUGGGCGUAGGAAAUUUGAGAGGAGCUGUCCUUAGUACGAGAGGACCGGGAUGGACAUACCUCUGGUGUACCAGUUGUCGUGCCAACGGCAUAGCUGGGUAGCUAUGUGUGGACGGGAUAAGUGCUGAAAGCAUCUAAGCAUGAAGCCCCCCUCAAGAUGAGAUUUCCCAACUUCGGUUAUAAGAUCCCUCAAAGAUGAUGAGGUUAAUAGGUUCGAGGUGGAAGCAUGGUGACAUGUGGAGCUGACGAAUACUAA
RNAcentral lists this ribosomal RNA (297 nucleotides) under Staphylococcus aureus. Its description in RNAcentral is "partial 23S ribosomal RNA". It matches the Rfam family "Bacterial large subunit ribosomal RNA", at positions 2606 to 2904 of the family's 2925-position model. Lineage: Bacteria; Bacillati; Bacillota; Bacilli; Caryophanales; Staphylococcaceae. The record is from RNAcentral.